GGAGGAAAGAGGAGCUUGUUCAGCCAGUCUGGAGUGCCAUGCUCUUUCUUGGUUCAGCCUGAAGAUUCAAGUCCAAUCUCUUCUGAAGGGCAUAAUCUCUUAGGGACAAAAAAACCUUCUCCUAAAGUAACAGCUCAUCAGAGUUUGUAAGAGGAUUAACAGUAAGGACUAGAGGAACCUGGGAGGGAGGAGAUAAGCCAAUAUUUCUGCCUGUUGAGCCUGCAGUUAAAAAUAAUUAUAGAG
RNAcentral lists this long non-coding RNA (243 nucleotides) under Monodelphis domestica (gray short-tailed opossum). Its description in RNAcentral is "lncRNA (ENSMODG00000042317.1)". The record is from RNAcentral. Lineage: Eukaryota; Metazoa; Chordata; Mammalia; Didelphimorphia; Didelphidae.